AGUGAACGCUGGCGGUAGGCCUAACACAUGCAAGUCGAACGGCAGCACAGAGGAGCUUGCUCCUUGGGUGGCGAGUGGCGGACGGGUGAGGAAUACAUCGGAAUCUACUCUGUCGUGGGGGAUAACGUAGGGAAACUUGCGCUAAUACCGCAUACGACCUACGGGUGAAAGCAGGGGACCUUCGGGCCUUGCGCGAUUGAAUGAGCCGAUGUCGGAUUAGCUAGUCGGCGGGGUAAAGGCCCACCAAGGCGACGAUCCGUAGCUGGUCUGAGAGGAUGAUCAGCCACACUGGAAAUGAGACACGGUCCAGACUCCUACGGGAGGCAGCAGUGGGGAAUAUUGGACAAUGGGCGCAAGCCUGAUCCAGCCAUACCGCGUGGGUGAAGAAGGCCUUCGGGUUGUAAAGCCCUUUUGUUGGGAAAGAAAUCCAGCUGGCUAAUACCCGGUUGGGAUGACGGUACCCAAAGAAUAAGCACCGGCUAACUUCGUGCCAGCCGCCGCAGUAA
This 506-nucleotide ribosomal RNA is filed under the name uncultured bacterium. RNAcentral's name for it is "partial 16S ribosomal RNA". It matches the Rfam family "Bacterial small subunit ribosomal RNA", at positions 29 to 523 of the family's 1533-position model. The record is from RNAcentral.